This 372-nucleotide ribosomal RNA is filed under the name uncultured organism. Its description in RNAcentral is "partial 16S ribosomal RNA". It matches the Rfam family "Bacterial small subunit ribosomal RNA", at positions 527 to 896 of the family's 1533-position model. The record is from RNAcentral.
GGAGGGAGCGAGCGUUGUUCGGAAUCACUGGGCGUAAAGGGCGCGUAGGCGGCCGAGUAAGUCGUGUGUGAAAGACCGGGGCUCAACUCCGUGUACUGCAUGCGAUACUGCCCGGCUAGAGAAAGGUAGAGGCGAGUGGAAUUCCCGGUGUAGCGGUGGAAUGCGUAGAUAUCGGGAAGAACACCUGUGGCGAAGGCGGCUCGCUGGGCCUUUUCUGACGCUGAAGUGCGAAAGCGUGGGGAGCAAACAGGAUUAGAUACCCUGGUAGUCCACGCCGUAAACGAUGGGCACUAGGCGUUGGGAGGAUUGACCCUCUCAGUGCCGUAGCUAACGCGUUAGUGCCCCCGCCUGGGGAGUACGGCCGCAAGGCUG